UACGGAAGGCAGCAGUGGGGAAUAUUGCACAAUGGGCGCAAGCCUGAUGCAGCCAUGCCGCGUGUAUGAAGAAGGCCUUCGGGUUGUAAAGUACUUUCAGUCGUGAGGAAGGUGUUAAGGUUAAUAACCUUAGCAAUUGACGUUAGCGACAGAAGAAGCACCGGCUAACUCCGUGCCAGCAGCCGCGGUAAUACGGAGGGUGCGAGCGUUAAUCGGAAUUACUGGGCGUAAAGGGCACGCAGGCGGUUAAUUAAGUUGGAUGUGAAAUCCCCGGGCUUAACCUGGGAAUGGCAUUCAAGACUGGUUAGCUAGAGUCUUGUAGAGGGGGUAGAAUUCCAUGUGUAGCGGUGAAAUGCGUAGAGAUGUGGGAGGAAUACCGGUGGCGAAGGCGGCCCCUGGACAAAGACUGACGCUCAUGUGCGAAAGCGGUGGGGAGCAAACAGGGAUUAGAUACC
RNAcentral lists this ribosomal RNA (455 nucleotides) under uncultured bacterium. RNAcentral's name for it is "bacterial SSU rRNA". It matches the Rfam family "Bacterial small subunit ribosomal RNA", at positions 340 to 786 of the family's 1533-position model. The record is from RNAcentral.